UACGUAGGGGGCAAGCGUUGUCCGGAAUCAUUGGGCGUAAAGCGCGCGUAGGCGGCCAGAUAAGUCCGGUGUGAAAGCCACAGGCUCAACCUGUGAAUGCCGCUGGAAACUGUCUGGCUUGAGUCCGGAAGGGGAGAGUGGAAUUCCUGGUGUAGCGGUGAAAUGCGCAGAUAUCAGGAGGAACACCAAUGGCGAAGGCAGCUCGCUGGAACGGUACUGACGCUGAGGCGCGAAAGCGUGGGGAGCGAACAGG
RNAcentral lists this ribosomal RNA (253 nucleotides) under uncultured bacterium. RNAcentral's name for it is "partial 16S ribosomal RNA". It matches the Rfam family "Bacterial small subunit ribosomal RNA", at positions 524 to 776 of the family's 1533-position model. The record is from RNAcentral.